This 728-nucleotide ribosomal RNA is filed under the name Pseudomonas peli. Its description in RNAcentral is "bacterial SSU rRNA". It matches the Rfam family "Bacterial small subunit ribosomal RNA", at positions 88 to 812 of the family's 1533-position model. The record is from RNAcentral. Lineage: Bacteria; Pseudomonadati; Pseudomonadota; Gammaproteobacteria; Pseudomonadales; Pseudomonadaceae.
CUUGAGAGCGGCGGACGGGUGAGUAAUGCCUAGGAAUCUGCCUAGUGGUGGGGGAUAACGUUCGGAAACGGACGCUAAUACCGCAUACGUCCUACGGGAGAAAGCGGGGGAUCUUCGGACCUCGCGCCAUUAGAUGAGCCUAGGUCGGAUUAGCUAGUUGGUGAGGUAAUGGCUCACCAAGGCGACGAUCCGUAACUGGUCUGAGAGGAUGAUCAGUCACACUGGAACUGAGACACGGUCCAGACUCCUACGGGAGGCAGCAGUGGGGAAUAUUGGACAAUGGGCGAAAGCCUGAUCCAGCCAUGCCGCGUGUGUGAAGAAGGUCUUCGGAUUGUAAAGCACUUUAAGUUGGGAGGAAGGGUAGUAACCUAAUACGUUGCUACUUUGACGUUACCGACAGAAUAAGCACCGGCUAACUUCGUGCCAGCAGCCGCGGUAAUACGAAGGGUGCAAGCGUUAAUCGGAAUUACUGGGCGUAAAGCGCGCGUAGGUGGUUCAGUAAGUUGGAAGUGAAAUCCCCGGGCUCAACCUGGGAACUGCUUUCAAAACUGCUGAGCUAGAGUACGGUAGAGGGUGGUGGAAUUUCCUGUGUAGCGGUGAAAUGCGUAGAUAUAGGAAGGAACACCAGUGGCGAAGGCGACCACCUGGACUGAUACUGACACUGAGGUGCGAAAGCGUGGGGAGCAAACAGGAUUAGAUACCCUGGUAGUCCACGCCGUAAACGAUGU